UUGCAGUGAUGUCUUGAAUUUCUUCACCUGAACUUUGUGUAGAACGCAUUUUUUGUUGUUUAACUGAGCAAA
RNAcentral lists this small nucleolar RNA (72 nucleotides) under Sinocyclocheilus grahami. Lineage: Eukaryota; Metazoa; Chordata; Actinopteri; Cypriniformes; Cyprinidae. The record is from RNAcentral.